ACAUUAUUUCACUUUUUACAAUAUUUUCUUUCAGAAAGUCAAUCUUCAAAAAUGAACACAAAAGUCGCCAUUUGUCUGAUCCUUCCGUGCAUCAUCGCCCUGGUUUCUUGUGCUUAUUUACCUGGUAACUAUGGAUACCAACAACCAAGACAGGUAGCUCCUUAUGCAAACUAUGCUGCCAAUAGUUACCAGGGUCUGAAACAGGCUAAACUCUUCAAUUACCUUCUCGGAGGGUUAUACUUCUUAAACCUCUUCAACUUCACCGGAAACAGAAUUGCUGGUUAGACAACAUUUCAUGGUCAUACGAGGUUAAAAAGCAGUGUUUGGUCAUAGAAGAAAUGUGUGUCAUCAAUUUGGACAUCUUACGUCAGAGCAGACGAUUGAUGCAAACAACAUAGCAUAAAGUUCGAUUUACCAGAAACAGAACACUUCAGAACUUGUAAACAUCUACCUUUUCAAAGAUGUUUUUAUUGAGAUUAAAAAUAGUCUGUACCUUA
This is a long non-coding RNA of Mytilus trossulus (common blue mussel), 497 nucleotides long. RefSeq lists it as uncharacterized. The transcript is spliced from 3 exons. Lineage: Eukaryota; Metazoa; Mollusca; Bivalvia; Mytilida; Mytilidae. The record is from RefSeq and is a predicted model, not a curated record.